This 1141-nucleotide long non-coding RNA is filed under the name Homo sapiens (human). Its description in RNAcentral is "HSALNT0079571". Lineage: Eukaryota; Metazoa; Chordata; Mammalia; Primates; Hominidae. The record is from RNAcentral.
CGCAAAGGCAUAGUGCAGGUUCAGUAGCAUAGCCUGUGUGGCUUGUGGUUCAUGAAUCAGACUGCCUAAUCCCGGGAACCACAAGGGACAUCUGUAAAUCCAUUGGCCAGUUCCUGAGCUUCUUCUGUUUCAGAGCUAUGUUUCCCAGUGGGCUGCCACAUCUUUGGGUUUCCAGUACUUGGAAUUUUGCUUUCCAGUUGCAGAGCUAAGAAGCCAAUUCACAUUCCAUCGUUGUCCCAAAGUCUUUUUCCUAUUUUGAAUGCCCCAUCUUGUCUGGAUUUAUCAAGGGUCCACAGAUUUACAACUUGAGGUGGCCUGCACCAGACCCACGGGGCAAUAACAGUCUUCCAUUGAAUUCUUUAGCAGUUUCUACAAUUGCAUAAGUUAACAAGAUCAACCUUGCUGGGAAAUGAACAAGCGACCAGGACUGCGUGCAAUUCUACUUGGAGAUCUUCAUAACACCUUAAGGGAAAAAUCCUUUUUGAAAGAAAAACAAGUCUGGGUGGUGCUUGAAAAUUCAGAAGGCAGCUAGAAACUCUGCCAAUUACAACUGGUGAUUGCUGAGUUCUGGAGACAGACUGGGCUUCUGCUUUCUUUUGGUGGAGGUGUCUGCUUGCAGAAAAUUUAUGUUCUGGGAUUUACAACUUCAGGGAGACAAAGGAAACUCCAGCUCAUCUCCCACAUCAUUGAUUGAGAGGACCAUUUUCUGACUGUCUGCACACGUUUCCUAUACUACCCUUUAAUGCAACAAUGGGAUGAAGAGAUGAAGACUUCUAGCAGGCUACCUCAGAAAGGUUGCUGACCAAAGGCUGUAUGGACCAAAAAGUCAUAACACCACCCUGGAUGAAAGGACAUUUACCUAAGGAAUUACCCGCUCUCAAUUCUUCCCAGGGAUGGGCAUUUGAAUUAUUUCCAGUUUUUGGCUAUUAUGAAAAAAACUGCUAUGAACAUUCAUACACAAGUGUGUGUGUGGACCCAUGUUUUCACUGAUCAAGGCCUAAAUACCUACGGUAAGUAUACAUUUAACCUUAUAAGAAAAUGCAAAACUAUUUUUCCAAAGUAGUAUCAUUUUACAUUUCUUCUAACAACAUAUGAGAAUGGCAGUUGCUCUACUAAUAUGGUUUGGCUUUGUGUCCCCACC